CCCUUAGAUGUUCUGGGCCGCACGCGCGCUACACUGAUGCAUUCAACGAGCACCCGCUGGGCCGAGAGGUCCGGCUAAUCUUUGAACGUGCAUCGUGCUGGGGAUAGAUGAUUGCAAUUAUUCAUCUUCAACGAGGAAUUCCUAGUAAACGCAAGUCAUCAGCUUGCAUUGAUUACGUCCCUGCCCUUUGUACACACCGCCCGUCGCACCUACCGAUUGAAUGGUCCGGUGAAAUUCUCGGACGCGGACUAGCGAUGUUAAUUCGGAGCUUGACUGUGGAAGUUAAUUAAACCUUACCAUUUAGAGGAAGGUGAAGUCGUAACA
This 324-nucleotide ribosomal RNA is filed under the name uncultured eukaryote. RNAcentral's name for it is "partial 18S ribosomal RNA". It matches the Rfam family "Eukaryotic small subunit ribosomal RNA", at positions 1470 to 1796 of the family's 1831-position model. The record is from RNAcentral.